Molecule: non-coding RNA, 246 nt
Organism: Chlorocebus sabaeus (green monkey)
Lineage: Eukaryota; Metazoa; Chordata; Mammalia; Primates; Cercopithecidae
Source: Rfam
UCUGGGCGCGGUGGCUCAAGCCUGUAAUCCCAGCACUUUGGGAGGCUAAGGCAGGUGGAUCACUUGAGCCUGGCGGUUCGAGAUCAGCCUGAGCAACAUGGCAAGACCCUGUCUCUAUUUUAUAUGAAAAGAAAACAACANNNNNNNNNNUGUUGUUUUCUUUUCAUAUAAAAUAGAGACAGGGUCUUGCCAUGUUGCUCAGGCUGAUCUCGAACCGCCAGGCUCAAGUGAUCCACCUGCCUUAGC